AACUGAAAUAGAAUUACAAAAAUACAAGUAAUGUUUUAUCUUUAAGAUUAGUUUUUGUUUAGAAGAAUAAUUAAAUGACAUUUUAUACUGUUCGCAUUUUUACUAAUAGUUUGAUUUAAUUCAAAAAAAAGGAAAUUUACUCCGUUUUGUAGACGUGAUAACAAAUGUGACAGUCAAAUUUACAAUGUAAAAGGGAGAUUAUACUCACGUAAUAGAACAUCAAACCUCAACAAUUAUUUGUUUUAGUGAAGUUAAGUAUUUUAAUAACCAUUAUUUACAAGUGUUUAUUUAAUCAAUAUUGUGUGAUCACGUGUUUGGACACGACAAGACAAGCUUUUAAAAAAGCUAUACUAAGUUCUAAAACACAUAAAACUUUAUAUUCUUAUAUAUUAUCAACUGAGGCAACUUAAAGCGGAAUAAUGUGCAAAUGAUGAUUAAGAAAUUUACUUACAAUUUAUUCAAAAAUCGAUUUUUAUGCGAUUCUUACCCAUUUUGAGUACGGUUUUAAUUUGGAAAAAAGUACUUUACGAAUGAUAUAAAAUUUUGCACACAAGUUAUUUGUUCAGAUCUACAUCGAACACAUGAUACAUAUUUCUUGGAUAAAAAUGAACGCGACACAUAAUUAUGAAGUAAUGCUUCCGGGUAACGAAAAGACAAUGUUUGAUCUUCUUUGUUUUCAACGAUAGAUUUGGACGGGGAAAAACAAGAAAUGAUGGCCUCACGCGUUGAUCAAGAGAAACUAGUUCACUUCUUUUGGAUGGCAAGAUAAUGAUUCCGCAAAUCAGUACUUUCGAAUUUCACUAGAUGCUGGUCGCCCAGCGAUUGGCCAGAACGCGCUUAGUGGACAAGUCUUCAGCAGGCCUAACAUAAGGACCGAGAGAUAUAUAAGUAUUUUGCCAACUAACACAACUACCACAAUCUAUUAUGAUGCAAUGGGAACUGUGUGUCUUCAUAAAGCCCAGCACAAGAUUGUUACGUCCGGUCAGACAUUAAGCCAACAGAUAGAAUAUGACGUAUAUUAUUAUGGAUCACUUAUGCAGUUUGAGCAUUUGAGGGAAAUGUCGGUAUAAUAGUUGAAUGAUAUUUUAAAUGAAAUAUUUGUACCAGUAAAAUAUCAAAAUAUUCAUGGUUUACCUUAUUUUAUAAAGUGUAAUUCUAUUUAAUGAUCGGUGUUUGUACAAUAAUUAUAAUAAUGUAAUUUUAGCUACAUAUA
Molecule: RNA transcript, 1213 nt
Organism: Ruditapes philippinarum (Manila clam)
Lineage: Eukaryota; Metazoa; Mollusca; Bivalvia; Venerida; Veneridae
Exons: 4
Source: RefSeq, a predicted model, not a curated record